Molecule: ribosomal RNA, 468 nt
Filed under: uncultured bacterium
Lineage: Bacteria
Description: partial 16S ribosomal RNA
Rfam family: Bacterial small subunit ribosomal RNA
Source: RNAcentral
GAUGAACGCUGGCGGCGUGCCUAACACAUGCAAGUCGAGCGAUUUACUUCGGUAAAGAGCGGCGGACGGGUGAGUAACGCGUGGGUAACCUGCCCUGUACACACGGAUAACAUACCGAAAGGUAUGCUAAUACGAGAUAAUAUGCUUUUAUCGCAUGGUAGAAGUAUCAAAGCUCCGGCGGUACAGGAUGGACCCGCGUCUGAUUAGCUAGUUGGUAAGGUAACGGCUUACCAAGGCGACGAUCAGUAGCCGACCUGAGAGGGUGAUCGGCCACAUUGGAACUGAGACACGGUCCAAACUCCUACGGGAGGCAGCAGUGGGGAAUAUUGCACAAUGGGCGAAAGCCUGAUGCAGCAACGCCGCGUGAGCGCUGAAGGCCUUCGGGUCGUAAAGCUCUGUCCUCAAGGAAGAUAAUGACGGUACUUGAGGAGGAAGCCCCGGCUAACUACGUGCCAGCCGCCGCGGUAA